AGCGAACGCUGGCGGCAGGCCUAACACAUGCAAGUCGAACGAACUCUUCGGAGUUAGUGGCGGACGGGUGAGUAACACGUGGGAACGUGCCUUUUGGUUCGGAAUAACUCAGGGAAACUUGUGCUAAUACCGAAUGUGCCCUUCGGGGGAAAGAUUUAUCGCCAUUAGAGCGGCCCGCGUCUGAUUAGCUAGUUGGUGAGGUAACGGCUCACCAAGGCGACGAUCAGUAGCUGGUCUGAGAGGAUGACCAGCCACACUGGGACUGAGACACGGCCCAGACUCCUACGGGAGGCAGCAGGGGGGAAUCUUGCGCAAUGGGCGAAAGCCUGACGCAGCCAUGCCGCGUGAAUGAUGAAGGUCUUAGGAUUGUAAAAUUCUUUCACCGGGGACGAUAAUGACGGUACCCGGAGAAGAAGCCCCGGCUAACUUCGU
RNAcentral lists this ribosomal RNA (432 nucleotides) under uncultured bacterium. RNAcentral describes it as "partial 16S ribosomal RNA". It matches the Rfam family "Bacterial small subunit ribosomal RNA", at positions 29 to 506 of the family's 1533-position model. The record is from RNAcentral.